GCAGCCCUAUUCUUGAAUCCAGGCAAGUUCUUUGCCAUAAGGGAGAAGGACAGGAGGCAAGCUACAAGGCUAAGGUCCAUGUUCAAUGAUGUUUUGUGGAAGAUAGUGUCGGAUGAUGAUGAACAGUGCAAGAUUAGUAAGCAAGCUGAUGAUUAUGAGAGGUCUGAAGGUGAUUACUUCUCAAAGCCUAUGGCAAUAAGAGAGAGAUAACAAGAAUCCUAUUUUGUGGUGGGGAUCAUAUGGUGGCCUAGCAUAUGAGCUCCAAAGUUUAGCAAAAAGAAUUGUGAGCCUUUGUUGUUCUGCUUCUGGAUGUGAACGUAAUUGGAGCACAUUUUCUCAUGUCCAUACCAAAAAGAGGAACAGAUUAGAGCACAAAAGGUUGAGCAAGCUGAUGUAUGUUAGCUACAACCGGAAGAUGUCAAAUAGAUUUCAAAAAAUUAGAGAACUUGGCUCCAAAGCAAAGAAAUCCAACCCUCUGAUUCUUGAAGAAUUUAAUUGGGAGAGUGAAUGGGUUGAUGUAAAUUCUGAUCCAGUUCACACAGGAGCAGCAGCAGAUGGGGAUGGCAACGUGCUGACUUGGGGGGGCAGAUGGAUGAAGCUAUUGGUGCAACUCAAGGUCUCCAUGAUCGUGGCCUGAAAAGGGCGGCUGCUGCUCGUUCUGCUGCUGCUGUUAGCCACACUUAUGCUAGGAAGAAGCGUCCAAGGAGGGCAAAUGCUACUCAGGAUAUUGCUGAACUGAAUGACAGUGAUCAGGAGAUGAUGGAGGUAGAUGCACCAGGUGACCAGCAUGGUGUAUCAGAUUCAGAAUAUACAAUGGAGGAUGGUGAAGAUUCCAGAGGACCACCUGAUGGAUAACAAGAAUUUCAAUUGAAUGAAGCAUUGCUUGAUUAGAUGCAUGGCUGGGCUGUCUUCUUUUGAAGUUUGCUGCUUUGUUGAAUUGUUGUGUGCUGAUGUGUUGUUCAGCUGAAGUGUUCAGCUUAUUAUCAACUUAUCAUUUGAACCUAUUUAUGUACUGAAUGUCUGAACACUGAACCUAUUUAGCUGUCUAAUUGUCUAUGUAAUAUGUAUGCUUUGCUGGUUGCCUG
Molecule: long non-coding RNA, 1085 nt
Organism: Panicum virgatum (switchgrass)
Lineage: Eukaryota; Viridiplantae; Streptophyta; Magnoliopsida; Poales; Poaceae
Exons: 3
Source: RefSeq, a predicted model, not a curated record